This 329-nucleotide unclassified non-coding RNA is filed under the name soil metagenome. Its description in RNAcentral is "partial contains 5.8S ribosomal RNA, internal transcribed spacer 2, and large subunit ribosomal RNA". The stretch from base 1 to 120 matches the Rfam family "5.8S ribosomal RNA", at positions 35 to 154 of the family's 154-position model. The record is from RNAcentral.
GAUGAAGAACGCAGCGAAAUGCGAUAAGUAAUGUGAAUUGCAGAAUUCAGUGAAUCAUCGAAUCUUUGAACGCACAUUGCGCCCCUUGGUAUUCCGAGGGGCAUGCGUGUUCGAGCGUCAUUAUAACCCCUCAAGCUCAGCUUGGUGUUGGGGCCUGCUGCACUGGCAGCCCUUAAAAUCAGUGGCGGCGCCAUCUGGCUCUAAGCGUAGUAAUUCUUCUCGCUAUGGAGUCCUGGUGGAUGCUUGCCAUCAACCCCCAAUUUUUCUAUGGUUGACCUCGGAUCAGGUAGGGAUACCCGCUGAACUUAAGCAUAUCAAUAAGCGGAGGA